UCACGUCUUUCGUCCCCAUUGGGUAAAAUAUUCUUUCAGUGUUUCGUUGGUGGUCUGCAAAUGCAGCCUCAACCGUGGUAGUUUACCUACCUAAAUAUGGUCGAUUUCUUGCAUGAUUGUGCCUGCCCCUGCCUCUCCCUCGCCGUUUUCGCGGCAGAAGUCCUGAAAACACUUACUCAUGCACGUAAGCUGUAAUAUGAAAAGGUAUACGCUACAGUAUAAUAUAAUAAUAGUAUAAUAAUAUUUAAUAUAUGUAAAAUUACAUGAUAAUAUCUAUCGUGUAAUAGGGUAUAUGGUAUAAAAUUGAAUGGCUGAGUAGCUUCUGUCCUCUCGUAAAAACAACUUCUUGGAUUUUUAGUGUAAAA
This is a non-coding RNA of Paramuricea clavata, 365 nucleotides long. The record is from the annotation of a GenBank genome assembly. Lineage: Eukaryota; Metazoa; Cnidaria; Anthozoa; Malacalcyonacea; Plexauridae.